CGACCGUGGGCGCAGUGUUUAGUGGGAUGUUUUUGUUUGAGCACUUCUGCGAACCUCACAUUAUUGGUGAAAAAUGAGAAAUAUUUGUUCUGGGAUGAUUGCAGCAAUAACGCACGGUGGAAAAUUGGUAGCUGUGCAUUAGAGCAGAAGCAACCGCUGCUGCAUAAUGAGAUGGAAAUUGCAUUCUCAAUGAGACUUGCAUUCAUUUGGCAGAAUCCAACACAUCCAAAGUUAAUAGUAACAAAUAGCAAACAAAUCUCUGUGCGUCAUAACUGUGCUGACCACCGUCUGACCAGAGCCUCUGACCUAGGGAUGAGAAUCCAGCACAGUGUGUGUUCUGUCUGAGGAUAUGAGGAUAACCCCUCUCCCCACUGCCUUGCUCAGUGACCCCUUGCACACAAGUUCUUUUUUCUGUACACAGAAAACACACACCGGAGGGGAACGUUGCAAUUUUGCCAGAGUAUUUAUUCAAAGUGAUCUCUGGGGUUUCACACCAACUGUCGUUAGGACAACUUUCACACAUCUUCAUCUGUUGUGUCUGUGGAUAUUCAUCAUGGUGGCACUGCGUGUCUCGUCACUGCUGGUCUUACUGGUCAUAUUAUGUCCACUCUACCAUGGCUAUCCAUCGGUAUAACUAUGUGGUGGCGACCUCAUAGAUGCCCUGCAAUUUGUUUGUGAAGAAAAAGGCUUCCAUUUUCCAAGAUUAUCAAGUCCAGUUCGCCCACAGUCGAGCCAACCAGUACAAGCGGGCACUGAGGAGAACAAUGCCACUGCUCCUGCAUCUAAGACUGAAAUAAGGUCAAACCGUCGUGCAUCUCCUGAGCCAUGGGGCUGUUUUAAAACCCGCACCUUGAAUGACCUUUUGCAAUUUUGCAACCAAGACUGACCAAAACCAUCAACAAAGUUGUUCCACUGGAUGUAAAAUGAGUUCUAGAGAAAACACUAAACAUUCUACAUGUGCUUCAAAAUGAGGUAGGAUUAUAUUAGUAAUGUUUAAAGCAUAAAUAAAAUAAAUCUGUUAUUAAUUCAUUUAUUCAAACCAUAUGUUUUUAACUGCCUGUUCGUAUGAUUUAUUUUGUUUCAUUACUGUCACCCAAUGGUAAUUUGAAUAACUCGGUUUUAGCUAUAGUACCAUGUCUCCUAGUGCCAUGUAAUGAACUCAUCAAUAUCAGUGUUUGUUACUCUCAACAAGGUUUUGUGAUUUUUUUAUUUAGCCUUUUUUAAAACUCAAAUAAAG
This is a long non-coding RNA of Cynoglossus semilaevis (tongue sole), 1237 nucleotides long. RefSeq lists it as uncharacterized. The transcript has 3 exons. The record is from RefSeq and is a predicted model, not a curated record. NCBI's taxonomy places the organism in Eukaryota, Metazoa, Chordata, Actinopteri, Pleuronectiformes, Cynoglossidae.